AUCCGACUGACGAGUCCCAAACACGAUGAAACGCACGUCCUGGAU
Molecule: non-coding RNA, 45 nt
Organism: Schistosoma mattheei
Lineage: Eukaryota; Metazoa; Platyhelminthes; Trematoda; Strigeidida; Schistosomatidae
Source: Rfam